UCUCCCUCCAGGCAGCCCUUGGCUGGUCCCUGCGAGCCCGUGGACACUGCUGGAGAUGUCCUCUUUCGGUUACAGGACCCUGACUGUGGCCCUCUUAGCCCUGCUCUGCUGUCCAGACAGGGUCUCGCUCUAUCACCCAGGCUGGAGUACAGUGGCAUGAUCAUGGCUCACUGCACCUCCCUGGGCUCAGGUGAUCCUCCCACCUCAGCCUCCUGAGUAGCUGGGAUCACAGGAUCUGAUGAGAAGGUAUUCGAGGUACACGUGAGGCCAAAGAAGCUGGUGGUUGAGCCCAAAGGGUCCCUCGAGGUCAACUGCAGCACCACCUGUAACCAGCCUGAAGUGGGUGGUCUGGAGACCUCUCUAGAUAAGAUUCUGCUGGACCAACGGGCUCACUGGAAACAUUACUUGGUCUCAAACAUCUCCCAUGACGCAGUCCUCCAAUGCCACUUCACCUGCUCCGGGAAGCAGGAGUCAAUGAAUUCCAACGUCAGCGUGUACCAGCCUCCAAGGCAGGUCAUCCUGACACUGCAACCCACUUGGGUGGCCGUGGGCAAGUCCUUCACCAUUGAGUGCAGGGUGCCCACCGUGGAGCCCCUGGACAGCCUCACCCUCUUCCUGUUCCGUGGCAAUGAGACUCUGCACAAUCAGACCUUCGGGAAGGCAGCCCCUGCCCUGCAGGAGGCCACAGCCACAUUCAGCAGCACGGCUCACAGAGAGGAUGGCCACCACAACUUCUCCUGCCUGGCUGUGCUGGACUUGAUGUCUCGCGGGGGCAACAUCUUUCACAAAUACUCAGCCCCAAAGAUGCUGGAGAUCUAUGAGCCCGUGUCGGACAGCCAGAUGGUCAUCAUAGUCACGGUGGUGUCGGUGUUGCUGUUCCUGUUCGUGACAUCUGUCCUGCUCUGCUUCAUCUUCAGCCAGCACUGGCGCCAGCGGCGGACGGGCACCUAUGGGGUGCGAGCGGCUUGGAGGAGGCUGCCCCAGGCCUUCCGGCCAUAGCACGCAUGAAUGGCAUGGCCACCACCACGGUGGUCACUGGAACUCAGUGUGACUCCUCAGGGUUGAGGUCCAGCCCUGGCUGAAGUACUGUACCAGGCAGCAGAGACUUGGGACA
RNAcentral lists this small RNA (1114 nucleotides) under Pongo abelii (Sumatran orangutan). RNAcentral describes it as "processed transcript". The record is from RNAcentral. Lineage: Eukaryota; Metazoa; Chordata; Mammalia; Primates; Hominidae.